Long non-coding RNA from Pygocentrus nattereri (red-bellied piranha), 1785 nucleotides. The record is from Ensembl. Lineage: Eukaryota; Metazoa; Chordata; Actinopteri; Characiformes; Serrasalmidae.
AUGAUCGCUAAACUAAAGAACCGAAUCCAGCGACUGCAGGAAGCCAUGCAAGAACAGGAAGAGGAAGAAGAAGGGGAGGAGUUCAUCAACGUGAACGACAGCGGCCUGAUGCUGUAUAAGGAACUCUGUAAUAAACUGUACGACCAUCAGAAAGAGGGUGUGGCCUUCCUCUACGGCCUGCACAGGGACGGGCGGCGGGGCGGCAUACUGGCAGACGAUAUGGGCCUCGGGAAAACCAUCCAGGUUGUUUCCUUCCUGUCAGGAAUGUACGAUGCUGAGCUGGCCAAGCACACGCUGCUGGUCAUGCCCACCUCGCUCAUUAAAAACUGGGUACGGGAGUUUGCCAAGUGGACCCCAGGGAUGCGGGUGAAGGAAUUCCACGGCACCAGCAAAACAGAAAGAAACCGGAAUCUGGAGAGGAUCCAGCGGAAGGGGGGGGCCAUUAUAACCACUUACCAAAUGGUCAUCAACAACUGGGAACAGCUGUCAAUGUUCCAGCAGCAGGAAUUCUGCUGGGAUUAUGUCAUUUUGGACGAGGCACACAAGAUCAAAACCCCGUCCACCAAAACGGCAAAGUGCGCUCGUGCCAUCCCAGCCCGGCACCGCCUGCUUCUGACCGGCACGCCCGUCCAGAACAACUUGCGAGAAAUGUGGGCGCUAUUCGAUUUCGCCUGCCAGGGUGCGCUGCUGGGCACCGCAAAAACAUUUAAGACGGAAUACGAAAACCCCAUCACUCGCGCCAGAGAGAAAGACUCUACACCAGGAGAGAAAGCCCUGGGCCUUAAAAUCUCCCAAAACCUGAUGGAGCUCAUAAAACCAUAUUUCCUUCGCCGGACGAAGGAUGAGGUGCAGCAGAAAAAGCAGAGCGCUAAGGGAGCUGAAGAGGAACUGAAAGAGGAAACCGAGGAAAAGGAGGAUAAAGAGAACGGCUGUCCAAAUAUAGGUGAUCCAGCCGAAAUGCCCUCACUGACCCGUAAGAACGAUUUAAUCAUCUGGACGUACCUGAGCCCAGUGCAGGAGGACAUUUACAAACAGUUCAUUUCUCUGGAUCACAUCAAAGAGUUGCUGAUGACCACACGCUCUCCGCUGGAUGAGGGCGAAUCUACUCUGUUGGAAGAAUCUGGAAAACUGCGCUUCCUCAUGUCUCUGCUGGAACAUCUCAGAGAGGAAAAUCACCGGACACUGGUGUUCUCCCAGUCCAGGAAGAUGCUGGACAUUAUUGAACGUGUCCUGCGGAACCGGAACUUUCGGAUGCUGCGAGUGGACGGUACGGUGACCCACCUGGCUGAGAGAGAGAAGCGCAUUGCCCUUUUCCAGACAGACAGACGGUACUCGGUCUUUCUUCUGACCACGCAGGUGGGCGGAGUCGGCAUUACGCUGACUGCUGCUAACCGGGUGGUGAUUUUUGACCCCAGCUGGAACCCGGCGACGGAUGCGCAGGCGGUGGACCGAGCAUACCGUAUCGGACAGACAGAAAACGUUGUGAUCUACCGCCUCAUCACCUGCGGCACUGUGGAGGAGAAAAUCUACCGCAGACAGGUGUGUCCUUUUAAUAUACAAGUGGCUGAUGGCUUUUUUUUCCUAAGGUUACAUCAAUUUUACAGUCGUCCUCACGUUUGUCGCAAGAAAUUUGGAUGUAAUGAGAGGAUGAUUUCUGGAGGAGUCAUGGAAUUAUCUGAUGUGGCUAGUUCUGCAGCUGCUGAAAACUCGAUGAGCACUCCAGUGGAAGACAGUUUAAUCUUCAGGGAGGAGUCCUCCACUCCUCCCUCUGAGGAGGCGCCCUCU